Molecule: unclassified non-coding RNA, 884 nt
Filed under: Hevea brasiliensis (rubber tree)
Lineage: Eukaryota; Viridiplantae; Streptophyta; Magnoliopsida; Malpighiales; Euphorbiaceae
Source: RNAcentral
CUUAGAAAGGUAAUAAUCUUAUCCUGUACUGCCAUUUCACAAGUUUCUCUCUUUUUUGUUUUUACGAUUCAUGUAUCCAAUUUGGAAUCUCAACUAACAAAUCAUCUACUUUAAUUGCUAAUCAUUCGAUUUUGAUCCUUGUAAUCCCUUGUUAGGAUCAAAAUCAGUCUCUUUAAUCAUGUAUUAGAUUUUAAUCUUGUUUUCUCGAUUGUGGAUGCUAAACUUUGUUUGGAUGUUUAUAUUUCGUGUUUUUGCGGUUGAAUCUGGUCUCGAUUUUACUUUCAUGUGAGUCUAAAAUUUCUCCUUUUCAAUCAGGUGCUUGCCCAAGAGGAAAGAGAAGGAAAUCAGAGCGUUUCGAUUCUCAAAAAUUUGAAGCAAGAUAGAGAAUUUUUUUUGUUCUGUUGAAUAUUGGUGUCUGACUGGUGCUAUAUUCGUAUUCAAAGAGAAUCGAUCGUGAUGGCGUCAGCUCUGAUCUCGAAUCAUCCCGUAACCAACUCUAACUCUGAUCGCUCGAAAAGGAAAAAGAAGAAGAAAUCGCAAGCUCAAUCCCAGGAGAGUCAAAAUCAAGGCCAUGCUAAAUGGAAAACCGAAGCUCAGCGACAAAUCUACUGCUCUAAACUCAUCCAAGCCUUGAGCCAAGUCCGCCUCAACCCAUCUUCUCCUUCGGCUCCGCGCCAAGGCCGCGCCGUUAGAGAAGCCGCUGACAGAGCCCUGGCCGUCUCUGCUAAGGGGAGAACAAGGUGGAGCCGAGCCAUAUUGACUAGCCGAAUCAAGCUCAAGUUCAGGAAGCAACACAAGAGGCAGAGAGUGGUGGCUGCGGCUACUGCCUCGAUGGCAACCGGGACUAGCAGGUCGAAGAAGCCGAGAGUCAGUGUUUUGAGGUU